Molecule: ribosomal RNA, 407 nt
Filed under: uncultured bacterium
Lineage: Bacteria
Description: bacterial SSU rRNA
Rfam family: Bacterial small subunit ribosomal RNA
Source: RNAcentral
CAAGGAAUUUUCCACAAUGGGCGCAAGCCUGAUGGAGCAACGCCGCGUGCGGGAUGACGCCCUUCGGGGUGUAAACCGCUUUUCGAGGGGACGAAGGCAAUGACGGUACCCUCGGAAUAAGGAUCGGCUAACUACGUGCCAGCAGCCGCGGUGAGACGUAGGAUCCGAGCGUUGUCCGGAGUUACUGGGCGUAAAGCGCGCGCAGGCGGUUCUAUACAUCGGCGGUGAAAGCCCCCUGCUCAACAGGGGAGGGUCCGUCGAGAUGGUAGAGCUGGAGGCAGGGAGAGGCCAGUGGAAUUCCGGGUGUAGUGGUGAAAUGCGUAGAGAUCCGGAGGAACACCAGUGGCGAAGGCGGCUGGCUGGACCUGACCUGACGCUGAGGCGCGAAGGCGUGGGGAGCGAACGGG